GCUAGUAAUCGCGGAUCGGCAUGCCGCGGUGAAUACGUUCCCGGGUCUUGUACACACCGCCCGUCACACCAUGGGAGCUGGUAACACCCGAAGUCAGUAGUCUAACCGCAAGGAGGACGCUGCCGAAGGUGGGAUUAGCGACUGGGGUGAAGUCGUAACAAGGUACC
Molecule: ribosomal RNA, 167 nt
Filed under: uncultured bacterium
Lineage: Bacteria
Description: partial 16S ribosomal RNA
Rfam family: Bacterial small subunit ribosomal RNA
Source: RNAcentral